UUCCGGUUGAUCCUGCCGGACCCGACUGCUAUUUGGGUGAGGAUAAACCAUGCGAGUUGUAUGGGAUACCUAAAUUUCCCAUAGCAAACUGCUUAGUAACACAUGAUCAACUUGCCCUAUGGAGAAAUAUAACCUCGGGAAACUGAGGAUAAUGCUUCAUAGUUGAAUAGGCUUGGAAAAGUUUUUCAAUGAAAGGGAUAAGAUAAAUGGUUCUUAUCUGCCAUAGGAUAGGAUCGUGCUCGAUUAUGGUUGUUGGUGAGGUAACGGCUCACCAAGCCGAUAAUCGAUAGGGGCCGUGAGAGCGGGAGCCCCAAGAUGGGUACUGAGACAGCGACCCAGGCCUUACGAGGCGCAGCAGGUACGAAACCUCCGCAAUACACGAAAGUGUGACGGGGUUACCCAAAGUGUUCUUAUAGAACUGUGGCAGGUGAGUAAUGUCCCCUGCUAGAAAGGAGAGGGCAAGGCUGGUGCCAGCCGCCGCGGUAAAACCAGCUCUUCAAGUGGUCGGGAUAAUUAUUGGGCUUAAAGUGUCCGUAGCCGGUUUAGUAAGUUCCUGGUAAAAUCAGGUAGCUUAACUAUCUGUAUGCUAGGAAUACUGCUAUACUAGAGGGCGGGAGAGGUCUGAGGUACUACAGGGGUAGGGGUGAAAUCUUAUAAUCCUUGUAGGACCACCAGUGGCGAAGGCGUCAGACUGGAACGCGCCUGACGGUGAGGGACGAAAGCCAGGGGAGCGAACCGGAUUAGAUACCCGGGUAGUCCUGGCCGUAAACGAUGCAUACUAGGUGAUGGUACGGCCAUGAGCCGUGUCAGUGCCGUAGGGAAACCGUUAAGUGUGCCGCCUGGGAAGUACGGUCGCAAGGCUAAAACUUAAAGGAAUUGGCGGGGGAGCACCACAAGGGGUGAAGCCUGCG
This 911-nucleotide ribosomal RNA is filed under the name uncultured archaeon. Its description in RNAcentral is "bacterial SSU rRNA". It matches the Rfam family "Archaeal small subunit ribosomal RNA", at positions 1 to 899 of the family's 1478-position model. The record is from RNAcentral.